AAAUGGAAAGAGGAAUUUGGAGGCGAGAGAGAAAUGCUUAAAAAGAUGAUAGGCAAUAAAAUAUCAUAAUCCAACCAUGGACUCUUGUCUCCAAUACAAUUAAAUUAUGACUAUAUAAACAGGUGUUGGGUGAGAACAAAUGUUCUAAAUAACGAUCUUGUUUUUCACUAACAGAGGUGAAGGGGCAAGUCACCAGAGCCAAUAUAAAUACAUGGGAGUCAUUAGCAGAGAGGCCAAAAGUGAGGAGGACAGAUGUUCAGGAAAACAUGGGAAGAAGAGAGAGAGUGGUAUUUUGGCCAGAAAACUUCCAUCAUAGACCUCGCAAUCUCUCUCCUUUUUCUUUUUCUGCAUUAUCCAGCUUCACACCCAACGAGCUUCAUCAUUCAUUCUUUCCAUUGAGGAAUUUCUGUGAAGAUUUCAACACUAACUACGCUACACUGGACUGUACCAUCUUAUACCCAAGAGUUGGCAGUUAUGAUACUGAU
RNAcentral lists this long non-coding RNA (485 nucleotides) under Androctonus crassicauda. The record is from RNAcentral. Lineage: Eukaryota; Metazoa; Arthropoda; Arachnida; Scorpiones; Buthidae.